Molecule: ribosomal RNA, 497 nt
Filed under: uncultured bacterium
Lineage: Bacteria
Description: partial 16S ribosomal RNA
Rfam family: Bacterial small subunit ribosomal RNA
Source: RNAcentral
GAUGAACGCUGGCGGCGUGCCUAAUACAUGCAAGUCGAGCGAACAGACGAGGAGCUUGCUCCUCUGACGUUAGCGGCGGACGGGUGAGUAACACGUGGAUAACCUACCUAUAAGACUGGGAUAACUUCGGGAAACCGGAGCUAAUACCGGAUAAUAUAUUGAACCGCAUGGUUCAAUAGUGAAAGACGGUUUUGCUGUCACUUAUAGAUGGAUCCGCGCCGCAUUAUCUAGUUGGUAAGGUAACGGCUUACCAAGGCAACGAUGCGUAGCCGACCUGAGAGGGUGAUCGGCCACACUGGAACUGAGACACGGUCCAGACUCCUACGGGAGGCAGCAGUAGGGAAUCUUCCGCAAUGGGCGAAAACUUGACGGAGCAACGCCGCGUGAGUGAUGAAGGUCUUCGGAUCGUAAAACUCUGUUAUUAGGGAAGAACAAAUGUGUAAGUAACUAUGCACGUCUUGACGGUACCUAAUCAGAAAGCCACGGCUAACUACGUG